Molecule: long non-coding RNA, 1105 nt
Organism: Ipomoea nil (Japanese morning glory)
Lineage: Eukaryota; Viridiplantae; Streptophyta; Magnoliopsida; Solanales; Convolvulaceae
Exons: 3
Source: RefSeq, a predicted model, not a curated record
UUGGAGAGGCCAAACAACACAGUACGCUUUCCCUUUCCGGAUCUGGCUUCUCUCCGAUCACCGCGAUUCUUUGAAAUCGAUCGGCUUCUCUACUCUAUCGCUCUAUAUCCAGUCUCAAUCCUCUAAUGCUUUACUGCUAUUAGGUAUUUUCUUAGUCUGUAGUCCUAUUUGUUUACUACCGGCUGCGAUUCGUCGGAUCGUUAUCUAUGCUUGAGGUCCAAAACUUUUUACAUGUGCUUCAAGGUUUAAAUGUGAAAGACAGUGCAGAUGUGAUGAGCAAAUACAAUGUUAAAAGGAGGCUAAUGUAGUUUGUAACCUGAGACUAAUGUAGUUUCACAUUGUUAUAAUCAUUUUUUUCUCUUACUAAGUGCAAACCUUUGAUUGAAAAUAAUACAAUUUGAUUUUUUCCUUUAUAGAAGGAUUUGAUUUUUAUAACUGGAUGGCAUUUGUUUUGAGCACGUGAAACCAAUAUGCUUGUUAUUACUACUGGUUUGUCAUUUUUGUUUUGAAUAUGAAGUCACUAAUCAAAUGUGAAUAACCUACAGAGUUCUGUGAUCAAGUACAGAUUCAGUGUGCUCUCAUUGGUAGCUAAGGAGGUUAUCACUAUUAGUGACUCAUGGGUGCCAAGAUGAUGGUUUCAACCUUUUUUUUUUUUUGAAUGCAGAUGAUGGUUUCAACCUAAUUUCUGUUUGUAAUGAAAACAUUACCUCAGUGUUUCGGCCAUCAAGUUCUGCAGAUGUCCUUCCCUAAGAUGAAUAAUGGAGCCAAGAUGAACAAUGGAGCCAUUUUCAGGUUAUAUCAGAUGGAUGGCAAAGUCUAAGCAGUGAAUAGCAAACACGCAGAGGGUUAGUGCAAAAGGCGGUUUAGAGAGGUUUAUAUAGAGGGCUAACAUUGUAUUCAAAAUUUGAAAAAUACCUUGGAAGCCUGAAGGCUACUGGAAACCUUUCAGUUUCCAAGAGCACAAUUAAUAGAUGAUUGUUUAGAAGCAUUUAAUAGUAUAUAUACAGAUGUAAAAUAUGUAGGUGUCUAUCUGUAGUUAUGCGCGUGUCUAUCUGUAUGUAUGCAGGUGUAUAUAUGUAGCUUAUCAUUAGAAGUCUUUCAUUAA